GACGAACGCUGGCGGCGUGCCUAACACAUGCAAGUCGAACGGAAAGGCCCCUUUGGGGGUCCUCGAGUGGCGAACGGGUGAGUAACACGUGAGUAACCUGCACUUGACUUCGGGCUAACUUCAGGAAACUGGGGCUAAUACCGGAUACGAAUCCUUGCUGCAUGGUGGGGGUUGGAAAGCUUCGGCGGUUUUGGCUGGACUCGCGGCUUAUCAGCCUGUUGGUGGGGUAGUGGCUUACCAAGGCUUUGACGGGUAGCCGGCCUGAGAGGGCGACCGGGCACAAUGGGACUGAGAUACGGCGCAGACUCCAACGGGAGGCAGCAGUGGGGAAUAUUGCACAAUGGGCGGAAGCCUGAUGCAGAAACGCCGCGGGCGGGAUGACGGCCUUCGGGUUGUAAACCGCUUUCAGCAGGGGCGAAGCUUGUGGUGACGGUACCUGCAGAAGAAGCACCGGCUAACUACGUG
Molecule: ribosomal RNA, 465 nt
Filed under: uncultured bacterium
Lineage: Bacteria
Description: partial 16S ribosomal RNA
Rfam family: Bacterial small subunit ribosomal RNA
Source: RNAcentral